This 254-nucleotide ribosomal RNA is filed under the name uncultured bacterium. RNAcentral's name for it is "partial 16S ribosomal RNA". It matches the Rfam family "Bacterial small subunit ribosomal RNA", at positions 524 to 776 of the family's 1533-position model. The record is from RNAcentral.
UACGGAGGGUGCAAGCGUUGUUCGGAAUUAUUGGGCGUAAAGCGCGCGCAGGCGGCCCGGGAAGUCUAUGGGUGAAAUGCCGGGGCUCAACCCCGCGCAUGCCCAGGAUACUCCCGGGCUGGAGACAUGUAGAGGCGAGCGGAAUUCCGGGUGUAGCGGUGGAAUGCGUAGAGAUCCGGAAGAACACCAGAGGCGAAGGCGGCUCGCUGGGCAUGAUCUGACGCUGAGGCGCGAAAGCGUGGGGAGCAAACAGG